GACGAUCAGAUACCGUCGUAGUCUUAACUAUAAACGAUACAAACCAGAGAUAGGACACUGUCCAUCUCGACUCCUUCUGGAUCUCGGAGAAAUUAAAGUCUUUGGGUUCUGGGGGGAGUAUGGUCGCAAGGCUGAAACUUAAAGGAAUUGACGGAAGGGCACACAAAGAGUGGAACCUGCGGCUUAAUUUGACUCAACACGGGAAAACCCACCAGGUCCGGAUGCACGGAUGAAAGUCAAGCUGAAAGACUUUACUCAAUGAUGUAAGUGGUGGUGCAUGGUCGUUCGUGGUUCGUGGAUUGAUUUGUCUGGUUAAUUCCGAUAACGAGCGAGACCCUAUCGUUCCUAAUAGGGGGCUGCAGCCAAACUGGUCGAGAGAUCGGUUAGCUACGGCUUAAGAUGAACUUCUUAGACGUAUCAGAGCCGAUAAGGUUCUUGAAAUGGGUUAAUAACAGGUCAGUCGUGCCCUUAGAUGUUCUGGGCCGCACGCGCGUUACAAUGGCACGUA
RNAcentral lists this ribosomal RNA (508 nucleotides) under Badhamia armillata. Its description in RNAcentral is "SSU rRNA". It matches the Rfam family "Eukaryotic small subunit ribosomal RNA", at positions 1003 to 1512 of the family's 1831-position model. Lineage: Eukaryota; Evosea; Eumycetozoa; Physariida; Physaraceae. The record is from RNAcentral.